AUGAUCGGACAACUUGAGCAGCUUUCAGCUUCUAUUUCACAUCAAGAUAUUAUAAGGUUCUUCGAACAUGUAUAUCUCAUCAUUUUGGAUGGCAACAACCGCAAUCGCAAACCUUUGGAGCUCACCCCCGGAAAAAUCACCAGCAUUACGAUCUAUAACUUGAUUAAGCUCAAGAUUAGUACAAAGCUCUUCCUUCAUAUCUCUCAUUCUUUUAGUCUAGAACCUUCCCUACAUUCCCUUGCACUCCUUUUGGAAUAUGAUCAACAUACUGAGGCUUGA
Vicia faba (fava bean) is the source of this 279-nucleotide non-coding RNA. Lineage: Eukaryota; Viridiplantae; Streptophyta; Magnoliopsida; Fabales; Fabaceae. The record is from the annotation of a GenBank genome assembly.